UGAAACGUCUAGAUUUAAUAAACUUACGUAAUUUUACGGCCUCCUCACUUUAGAGGAGCCAGAUCCGCAUAAAACAUUAGUCCACAAAUAUUGCUCCAUUGUUUUAGAGGGGUUUCUACCUUGUGCUCGAUGAUUUGCUUAAUACACCCAAUACUCAAUCUCAUUCGACUUUAUCAGUCCAAUAUUGACAUGCAAUCAUGCAUGCUAUGAAUAUAAUUGUUGAAAAAAACAAAGAAGAGAAAAUGAGUUUGUCUUGAACAGAGAAAUGAAAAGUUAGCUUUCGUUUAUUUUUAUGAUUAAAAACUUGGAAUAAAAUGGAGCUCAAGAGUUCAAGGCAAAGCUGGAACAUAUUUUCGUGUAUCGGUUAGUUGCAUAUAGUUACCAAAAACGUUAAUAUUGAUGUAUUGGUAGUGGUUUCUCAAGCAUUGGGAAUUAUGUAAAAUUUGUCAAAAAUUUGGGGGUGUAUAUCAUACCUGACAAAGUAGUGGAGUUCAAUGACAUCCAUUACGAGAGCAUAUCUCAUCGUAGUUGAUCCCAGUGCGUGUUAGUGAAAGACCUUGCGCCAUAAGGUGAGUCUAAGCUCUUACUCUCACUACGCUAUCUAACAAAGGCACAGUUGAUAGGGUUUAGCUUGCGGUGUCGGCAUCACCUGCCCAAGGACCUAUCUCUUUGUUAAUGCUGGAUCGUGUCUUUCCAUUAGGCCAAUCAACUAAGUUGAUAUCCAUCAACGAAGGGUGGUUCGAUAGUAGACUCAUUAUCUCACGUCCUCAUGUACACUAGUGUAAUACUUGUAGAGAUCUCUAUAUGGAUUGGAUUUGACAUUGAGGCGUCCCCCAACGAUAAUCACAAUUCAGACUUCAUGAGACGGAUUUGAGUAUCACUGAUCAAUGGAUCAGGUUGUGCCAAGCUCGCUUUCUUUCUAGUGCAAGACAAUAUCGAACCUAAGGGCCUCCCUCCUUUUAGGGAGCCACACGGCCUUAUGACACCAAUUUUGCCACUAUAUGGCGUCACCAUAUCACCAUCCAUGGUGAUGGCGUCAAGACCAACACUUUUUGGUCGCGCCAUGUCCUUUUUGUAGGACAUUAAUCCUUGCAGACAUAUUUGCAGCAUGUGAUCUCGUCACUUUAACACUAUAAACAUUUGGGAUCAAGAUGAGACUUAGUGGGGACAAACCACGACAAUUCACGUCGUUCCACUUGAACACUUGUGUUCUUAUCUCCCCCUAACGGCGGGAAUAUUGUCUCAUCAAAGUGACAAUCCGCAAUUUAGCGGUGAAUGAGAUUGCCUGACAAGGUUCUUACAUAUGCGGAUUAUAGGUGGAGGUUCAUAUCCAACCUAAACUUAUUCAUCUCAAAUGACCCAUCAUUGUACGCAGUGGCAAUGCGNNNN
Molecule: long non-coding RNA, 1389 nt
Filed under: Fragaria vesca (wild strawberry)
Lineage: Eukaryota; Viridiplantae; Streptophyta; Magnoliopsida; Rosales; Rosaceae
Description: long non-coding RNA (FVES_LNC001774)
Source: RNAcentral